Long non-coding RNA from Mandrillus leucophaeus (drill), 728 nucleotides. RefSeq lists it as uncharacterized. The transcript is spliced from 3 exons. The record is from RefSeq and is a predicted model, not a curated record. Lineage: Eukaryota; Metazoa; Chordata; Mammalia; Primates; Cercopithecidae.
AGUUACGUGAAGAGGAGAACAAAGUCCAGGCAGGGCCGGGGAAGCUCGUGCCAAGGCACUGAGGGGAAGUGCUGCAAUGAACCUCAGAGGCUGGAUCUUGCUGACUCAUCUGGGGUGCCAAGGACAGGUAAAGGACAUGGAGUCCAGGACCAGGAGGGGACACCAGGCCAGCAGUUUCACUGAUGCUCCCGUCAUGACGAUGACUGCCUCCCUCCUCCCCUUGGUCCCUGACUCAGUGUCUGCAGUCACCAGGCACCAGGCAGGGAGCAAGAAACCAAGCCUUUCACCUGCUCCCACCAACUCCUAUGGUGCUCCCUUUCCAAGCCUAGGUCUCCUCUCCACCCGGUUCCUUAUCAGGUACCCUGAGAAGCUGUCACCUUGGCAACUGUCACCUUCUGGUGAGAUUUACAAUUGCACUGCUACAUCUGCUGUGGCAUGGUAAAGUUGCACCAGGACCUCUGCUGUCCAUGAGAUCAAAGCUCCAGGCCAACAGACAGGUUUCACUAUGUUGCCUAGGCUGGUCUCAAACUCCUGGGUUCAAACAAUGCUCCUGCCUUGGCUUCUCAAAGUACCAGGAUUAUAGGCACGAGCCACUGUGCCAGGCCCAAACCGAGCUUCUGAGUGAAAAAAUUUCUGCUGCCCUCCCCCCAGCUUCAGGAAGUGGGAGUCAACUCCAAUCACUGCGGUGAUGCAGAGAAAAUACGGCUGAUAAACCGCUUAUUUUUCUC